UCAAAACGGCAAUGGCUACGCGAAUAUUUUCAUUUCCUUUUAUGUCAUCGUUUUCCUACUGGUUGGCUUUAAAAAUGCGUCCAGAUUCCAGUCGAGGAUGGAAUCUAAGUGAUUCCGAAGUAGAGUUGAGGUUCAACCAAAACGCAGUCGAUUUAAUGCAUCUGUCCAAUCUCCGGCACUGGAGCAAGGUCUAUGCUUUUCACUCAACAAAAUCUCCAAAGCAGCUCUUCUUUUUGGGUUUUUUUUUCUUUUUAGUUACUGCAGAACUAAAUUAGUUAACUUUUCAAAGAAAAACCAAAACAUCUCGAUUGGAGUAAUUUUAUUGAUCGCAUACAAAUUAACCCAUAUCACUAUUUUGAGUUUUUCAAUUUCCUAAUGAACUCUUCCUAUACUGCCUUUAUCUCUCGAUUAGUGGUUUUGUGAUGGUGCUGCCAUUAUCAUAAAUUCGUUAUUAAGAGUAUUUAUUCAUUGAAUUAUUGAAAUUUUGGAAUACACACACAUAUAUGUGUGUGUGUGUGUGUGUUUGUGUAUCUAUCUAUAACCAACUAUUCACAAUUUAACAUUAAGCAUAAUCCCAGGACCCAAAUGAAUGGGAAAAAAAGCUUAAGACAUUCCAACUUUUGUAUGGGUUAUUUCGACUAUUUGGAUAGUAGAUGAUUUUAAGUCAUAGCAAAUAAUAUACCCUUCCAAUAGUCCAUUGUAAGUUUGUAACGAAACCAAGUCUUCGUUUGUGUUAUCAUUUGUAGUUUUAGAUUUAUGGGCUUGUUGGCCUUUCUUUUUAACAGUUUUCUUUUAUUCUAAUUUAUCAUUUAACCAUUACCGUAAUAAGCACUUGACUAUCAGCGAAGAUGACUAAAUAAAUCAGGUCAUUUUCUUUGUUAACAAACUUUAAGAUUUAUUUGAAUCACUGAUCACCACUACUUUUCACAUUCACAACCCUUCUGUUGCGUUUGGUUUGCAAGAAUCAAAGGGGGAAUGGAAUGGCUCAUUCCCAUGGAAUGAAGAAAAAAUGUGUUUGGUAGUUUCCAUUGGAAUGGAAUUAAACCAUUUCAAUUACUACCAAAUACCAAUUGUUGAUUUUUUAGUUAUUAGGGGGUUGUGGAAUGACUUAUUCCAUUCCAUUUCCUUCUCUUACCAUUCCUACCUUAAUUCCAUUCCUUCAAUCUAAGUUCUAAACGUAGCAUUAUAUAUCUUUGGCUUUGAUUGAACAUUACUGUGACUCUGUUUCCCAGUCUUCUUACUUGUUUCUCAUACAUUUCAUAUUCAAAUUUGCGCUUUAAACUUUUCAUAUUCAGAUGUGCUACUGGAUGACAUUCAGAUCUGAGAAUUAAAAGACACGUGAGUAAUGUUUCAGUGGUAGUGAAGCUAUUUAAAUUUUUUACUGUGGGUAUGGUUGAUAUUUUUUCGUGCAUUUGGAGUCUGUUGUCUAGCUCUUAAAUUCUCUCGGAUUCUUUGGCUUUUAUUAGUUUCUUCUCUGUUUUUAUUUUUUAUUUCUACUUGUUUGAUUAUUCUUUUCUCUAUCUCUUUUUUUUCCAUCCCGCUGAGUAAAAUGCUUAUUUUCUUUAAUAUCUCCAUGGUGAAUCUUAUUGUUGUCACUUGGUCUAGGAAUAGUGCACUUGUGUUUGCCACGCGAUGCAUAUCUUAUAGAAGGAAAAUCCUUAAAAUACCAAUAAUCAAUAAACAUAUCGGGUCUAAUCCUAACUGAUUUGGUGCUCCGGGUUGCAAGCAGAAAACCAAUUUUUUCUUGACCCUGUUUAUCUAUCAAAAAUAAAAAUUGAAAGAACUAGCCCCCAAUGCGGGGAAACCAACAUGGAACUCGUAUACUAUGAUCAGAAAAAUAGUGACCCUAUUAUUGGCCGCUUUGGACUAAUCUUGAGCAGUGAUUAUGUUGUUGGUAUCAACACACAGGCAAAUCUGCAGGAGCAUGCUCUAGAGACUCCAAUUCCCCAACUCCGUUGUCUACUAGGAAAGCCGUGGCUAAACCCCAACCGAUGUGAACAUCCAAGUGACAAUGCAUAAGCCAGACUCCUGCCAAAUGAAGGAAUGAAAUCAUUAGAUUAUCUUAAAUAUAUCAGAAAGAUCUUGAUGUAUAAAUGUAGUAUUUUAUAGUUGUCUGCUAUUCUUACCAGGAUUGUCAGCAACAAAUCUAAUAACUGUCCAUCCUUUUACAGGUAAACUAGCUGUAUUACGAAGAGGUGGAUCAACGAGGUUGAAUUUGGCCGUAUCAGUUUUAGGAUUGAAGUUUCCAAACCCCUCUGCGAUAAUGUAGAAAUCAUAUCCAUGGAGAUGAAUUGGG
RNAcentral lists this long non-coding RNA (2296 nucleotides) under Panax ginseng (ginseng). RNAcentral describes it as "long non-coding RNA (PGIN_LNC004383)". The record is from RNAcentral. Lineage: Eukaryota; Viridiplantae; Streptophyta; Magnoliopsida; Apiales; Araliaceae.